AGAGCUAAGCUAAAAACUUUUUAUUCAUUUAUAUAUUUCUCUAGCAAUGGGACAUCCUAAUAUUUUAAGAUAUCAAUUAUGUUGUAAAAUAGGCGCUGUUCGCACAAUCCGCUUUAAUUGUAUGUUUUGUAAACUAAUUAUAUUGUAAAGCUCUUUGUUUUUGUUGCUAAACCCUUUUAUUUACUUUUAGUUGAUGGAAACUAUUGCAUGACCGGUGGAUCUGAUAAAUCAAUGAAAUUAUGGGGAUAUUAGAUUCCUCGGCAAUCAUCGAUCUUGAAGACUUAUAUGGGGCAUGGAUAUAAAGUCUUAGAUGCUUAAUCUUCAGCAAAUAGCUCACAUAUAGUAUCCGGUGGAAUGGACAAAAAGCAUUUUUUAAUGGGACGUUAGAACAGCUCAAAUAAUAAGAAAGUUUCGACGUCAUGCAGUUUAGGUCAUGACGAUGCUAUAAAAUUCAACGAAGAAUCUAGUUUUACUAUCUGCUUCAGUUUAUAAUACUGCUUGUGCAUGGGAUUGCCUUAGCAAGUCUCGCGAGCCUGUUCAGUAGAAUCAUGGCUGUUGAGAGUGCAGAUGAAUUUUAUUGCAUUAUGGGUGUUCUCACACGUGAGAUUUUAGAGUUUGGUCUUAUGGAUGCAGAUAUGUUUGUUAAGACUAUGUGUACUCUUGCCAUAUUCCCUUUCCCUCAACUGUAAGAUCUCCGAGAUAGUUAUACUUAUAACAUUCAACCGUUCUCAUCUUCACUCUCAUCUGAUGCUGAACAGCAAAUAUUUUCUGGAGAAGGUGAUGAAGAUAAUGAGGAUUUGAAUACCACAAAAUGGUAUUUUUCAAACGAGCUUUAGUGGUACAAGAAAAAGGGUUCAGUCAACUGUGUUAACUUCACAAAAGAUGGUCUUGUCUUCUUGCUAGCAGUUUAGACAAUACUUCGCGACUUACAGAUAAAGACGGGGGUGAAGUGCGUUCUGAGUAAUUAUCAUUAUUUAUUUUAACUUUGUUAACUUUUAACUCUAAAAUUACUUCAGACAUUGAGUAGAUUUAUUUACGUUUCACUUCUUAUCAAGUUUUUGACAAUUUUACCAUUGAUAGAACCGACACAUCAAAAAACUGUUUUAAACUUAAUUAACUAAAUAUCCUUAUUAAUAUAAGUUUGUUAUUUUCACCUAAAAUUAGCUCAUUGAAGUAAUUUUAUGUAUUUAAAUCUUCAGUUACCACUUUUCUUGUACAGAUUAAACUUAUGUUGAAAAGUAAAUUUCUCAGAAAAAAAAAUAUCCUUUUUAUACGCAAAUGUACUUUAUAUAUGAACACUAUAUGCUAACAAAAGAUCUGCUUGCUGAAAGCUCUGUAAUUGUUAAGUUACUUUUAAUAAGACAUUUUAACUAUUGAAAAGUACCUUAAACAUUCUAACAAUUAUUUAUAUCUUCAUUCCUUUACAUAGAAUAAAAUAAGGUGAUUUGAAGCUCUUAAGUUUAAAAGUUAAAUUACUAAUUACAAAAUAUAAAAAAUUAAUGCUUUUAUCAGCUUUUUUUCUGAUUUUGUCAAUUCUGUUUUGAAACUGAUCCAAUGUUAUAAUUUGGAUUCAUUCCACUUUUAUUAAUAUUGUGCAGUUGAUAAAACAAAAUGCUGCAAAUUAUGAAAAGGAAAUAGAACAUUUUGAUUUCAAUAAUAUGAAGAUUAAAAUAAUAAUAACUCAACGUAAAGAUUUCAAAUAUUCUUUAGAAGAGUAGAAUUUUCUUAUAAAAUAAUAAAAAGAAAGUGAAGAUGAGCUGAAAUUUUGUUUAUGCUCUAAACUACACUUUCUACAUUGGCGUAAUUAUUCAUAAUAUAUUUAGUUAUAUUAUUAUAUAUUAGCAUAUGUUUAUUCAUUGGUGUAUAACUAUAGUUUAAUAAAUAUUAUAAAUAUAUUACUAAAACUUGUAUUGUAACUAUCAUUAGUUUUUAGCAAUUUUAAACAGUUUUUGGCAGUUUAUGAUACUGAAUAUGUUAAAGACCAAACCGUCCUUUCUCUUUUAAGAAAAAAUCAAGAAUACUUAUCUGUUUUUAGCAAUCAUUUUAACCCUUAUUAACUACAGUCAAUAAAAGGAAUGUAUUAACAUUUUUUAUUUGGUUUUUAUUUCUAUGUAAUAAAAAAAAGAAAUGAAAAUAUAUUAUCAAGACAAAUGAAAUAUUUGUGGAAUAUACAGCUUUCAUAAUACCUGAAACAAUUUUAAAGCUGUUACACUUACAUCAUUGUACUACUGUUAAGCCUUAACUUGCCAGAUCCCUUGGCCAAUAUACUGGCUUUUGCAGGAGUGCUUUUAUCAUAAUAAAAAUUUUUAUUGAAGGAAAAAUAAGAAUUAUAAUAGCAGAAUUUUUAUCAUAAAUACAAAUAAGUAGACUUGCAGUAAAGAAUUAACAAGAUUUUAUGUAUGCUGUAGUCUGUAUACAUCUUGUAAAUUUUUCUUUCUUUCUGUUUUUGAGCUUAGCAAAAAAAUUCAAUAAACCUGAUUAAUUGUCACCUUAUAUUUCAAUAAAAAAAUUAACAAUGUAUUUUUUUUUUGUUGCGCUAACUCUAUAAUAAAACUGUACACUAAUUUUCAACUUAUAUUUUUGUAAAAAUUGAGAAACUGCACAUACCUAUUUUUUUUCCUCCGUUCCACAUUUAAAUUGAUUUCUGACGCAAUAGCAAGACACUUCAGUGCACUAAUUGUCAACUUGUCUCAAAAGGGAUAAUUUGUUGUUGAAAAAUGUCUCUUCAUGUGCUGUUCUUCAUUUUAGUUACAAAUUCACCAUAUUCCUUAAAAUUUAAAACCCAGCUAAAGCAAAAUUAAAAUAAUUUUAUCCUAAAUCCUUAUAUUUAAGUAGAGUAGCUAGAGUAACAUUUUAUGUGCCACAUUGAUUGAGAGCUAAAGUUUACUAAAAAGAAACUAAACAAAUAUUUACCUCAUAGUCAUUAACAAAAAUUUAGUCACUAACUUGAUCAAGUGGAAUAUCAAAAAAGUGUGAUAGCUAUACUUGGCACUUCAUUAAAACAUCUGAGCUAGUUGAUAAAUAAUUUGUGCAACUUUGGCAUAGUUGUGUCUCUUGGUUGGGUAGAGGGCGGUUAAAAAAAUUAAACAUAAUGUAUUAAAUACUGCUGCCAUUUCAACAAAGAAACUCCUUCAACAGAUACUAUCUUUCGAAUCUUAAUUUCUGUCUUUCAGUCGAAUAUUGUCUUUCGAAUCUUAAUCUUAAAGGACUACUCUCGUUAUUUUAAAAUACAAUUGAGUAUAAUUUCAUUUAAAAUGUAUUCAUUUUUAGAACAAAAAUGUAUAAUUACCUCUGGAGAGACUUUUAGGUCAUUUAAAAAAGUGAAACACGGUUUUGUAUCUUAUUCUUGAAAUUUUCAGGUAUCAUUUUGAUAGUAACAGAAGAUUUAUGCUUAGUCCAUGCAAUGAAGGCACACAUAAGUUUUAUGGUCCCAGGAAACAAUCUUGCAAUGUUAUAUUGAUUUGUUAUUGAUCUGUUAUAUUGAAUGUUAUAUUGAUAGAAAUUUCAAUGAAGUUUUCACUGUUAAAAAUUGUUUGAAAUAACAGAAUAAAGUUUACUUUUUUUUUCUUUGAAAAUAUGUUUAAUUUUGUUAGUCUGGUUAUUGUGAAUUCAUGUGUUUGUUUAUUUAAUAGUUGAAAUCCAAAUAUUAAUUUUUUAUUUAAAUGCAGCUUGAUUCUAUUGCAUGGAAUUAUAAUAGUUUGUAAGUUUUAUUAUUAUUAUUAUUAUUGUUUUAUUUUUAUUUAUUUAUUUAUUUCCGUUUUAUCUGUCAUACUUAUUUUUGAAGCUUCUGAACUCUUUAUGCAAAAGUUUUCUAUAAAAUAUUUUAUUUUUUAAAUAUGUUGGCAGUAAAAAAUAAAGACAGUCACUUUGAA
Non-coding RNA from Parasteatoda tepidariorum (common house spider), 3872 nucleotides. The record is from RefSeq and is a predicted model, not a curated record. Lineage: Eukaryota; Metazoa; Arthropoda; Arachnida; Araneae; Theridiidae.